UCCCCUAGUAACGGCGAGUGAAGCGGGAAGAGCUCAAAUUUGAAAUCUAGUAGCCUUCGGCUGCUCGAGUUGUAAUCUAUAGAAGUGUUUUCCGUGCUGGCUCAUGUACAAGUCCCUUGGAACAGGGCGUCAUAGAGGGUGAGAAUCCCGUACUUGACAUGAAUCACCAGUGCUCUGUGAUACACUUUCAAAGAGUCGAGUUGUUUGGGAACGCAGCUCAAAAUGGGUGGUAAAUUCCAUCUAAAGCUAAAUAUUGGCGAGAGACCGAUAGCGAACAAGUACCGUGAGGGAAAGAUGAAAAGCACUUUGGAAAGAGAGUUAAACAGCAUGUGAAAUUGUUAAAAGGGAAACGAUUGAAGUCAAUCAUGUCCUUGGGUCUUACCACCCUUGGAUGGGGUCAACAUCAGUUUUGAUCGGUGGAUAAGGAUAGGAGGAAGGUAGCACUCUCGGGUGAACUUAUAGCCUCCUGUCGCAUACACUGGUUGAGACUGAGGUCUGCUAU
Molecule: ribosomal RNA, 502 nt
Filed under: Goffeauzyma gilvescens
Lineage: Eukaryota; Fungi; Basidiomycota; Tremellomycetes; Filobasidiales; Filobasidiaceae
Description: eukaryotic LSU rRNA
Rfam family: Eukaryotic large subunit ribosomal RNA
Source: RNAcentral